GUUGAUCCUGCCAGUAUUAUAUGCUGAUGUUAAAGAUUAAGCCAUGCAUGUGUAAGUAUAAAGUCCAAGAAGGAUGAAACUGCGAACGGCUCAUUAGAACAGUUAUAGUUUCAUUGGUUAGUACGUUACAAGGAUAACUUUGUGAAUGAUAAAGAUAAUUCUUGGGACGAUCCGGUGAGUAGCAAUACUUACCGGCCUUGAUCCCGCAAGGGGUUGAGAGAAAUGGUACUUAAGAAGAACAUGAGUACCAAGACAAUUGUAGAACACACUGUGUUUGACAAGUAACCAACGAGAAUAUCUGAUCUAUCAAUUAGUUGGUAGUAUCGAGGACUACCAAGAUGAUAACGGAUAACGAGGAAUUAGGGUUUGACAUCGGAGAGGGAGCUUUAGAGAUGGCUACCACUUCCAAGGAAGGCAGCAGGCGCGUAAAUUACCCAUUUCCAAAGCGGAGAGGUAGUGACGACAAAUAACUCAUGGCGCGGCAAUGCCGAGCCUUGAAGGAAUGAGUAGGAAGCAAAGUAUCCUACAAAAUCGAUUGGAGGGCAAGUCUGGUGCCAGCAGCCGCGGUAAUUCCAGCUCCAAUAGUGUAUAUUAAAGUUGUUGUGAUUAAAACGCUCGUAGUUGAAUACAUUCAUAUGAUGAUUAACAACUUUAGUUUGCGACAAGCGAACUGGAUGAGUUAAUGAUAAACAUCAUAGAUUAAGGACAACUCAUUCUUGAGUUGAUUACUUUGAAUAAAAUAAAGUGUUUAAAGCAAAACAUUUGUUAAUGAAUAAAGAAGCAUGGGACAAUAAGAAGGAGAUCAAGAUUUGCUGUAACAGGAAAGCUUGAUUUCAAGAGAAGGAUUAAAAGGAAUAAUUGGGGUGAUUCAGAAAAUUUUGGGAGAGGUGAAAAUCCAUGAUCAAAAUAAGAUGAACGAGAGCGAAAGCAUUUCACUCAAUUAUAUUCAUUAAUCAAGAACGAAAGUUAGGGGAUCGAAGACGAUCAGAUACCGUCGUAGUCCUAACUAUAAACGAUGUCAACCAAGGAUUGGAUAAACUCAAGAGACUUGACGAAUGGGCAAUCAAUGAUUGCACAGUCAGAAAGGCUCAAUACUACCUUAUUCAGAACUUGAAGAGAAAUCUCGAGUGAAUAGACUUCAGGGGGAGUAUGGUCACAAGGCUGAAACUUAAAGGAAUUGACGGAAGGGCACACCAGGAGUGGAGCCUGCGGCUUAAUUUGACUCAACACGGGAAAACUUACCAAGACCGAACAUUAGAAGGAAUGACAGAUUAAGAGUUCUUUCAUGAUUUGAUGGGGUGUGGUGCAUGGCCGUUCUUAGUUGGUGGAGUGAUUUGUCAGGUUAAUUCCGGUAACGAACGAGACUGAAACCUAUUAAUUAGUUCGCUGUCUGUGAAGGCAGGGACGUGGGCAACCACGAAUGGCGGUAACGCAAUUACUACUUAAAGGGACACAUUUCAAUUGUUUUGUAAUAUCGAAUGCCACGCACCUCGGUGUGUGCUUUGAUAAUACGAAAAAAAGAAAAAGGAAGCAUUCAGCAAUAACAGGUCUGUGAUGCCCUUAGACAUCUUGGGCUGCACGCGCGCUACAAUGGAGUUACUAGAGAGUAAUACUAAUGAUAGUGUAGAGCGCGAUGUGUUGAUACUCUGUAUCAAUAUGUCGAGCCUCUUGCUAUUUGACCAAGACUGAAAUAGUUUAGGAAAACUCGAAAGAACGUACUUGACUGGGAUAAAUGAUUGGAAUUAUUUGUUUUGAACGAGGAAUUCCUUGUAAUAUCGCGUCAUCAACGCGAGAUGAAUACGUCCCUGCCCUUUGUACACACCGCCCGUCGCUCCUACCGAUUGAAUACAGAGGUGAAAUUCUAAGACCCGAGUGCWUUUGUACUUGGGAAAUGGAUUUAAAUCUCCUUAUUUAGAGGAAGGAGAAGUCGUAACAAGGUUUCCGUAGGUGAACCUGCGGAAGGA
Molecule: ribosomal RNA, 1964 nt
Filed under: Entamoeba sp. RL5
Lineage: Eukaryota; Evosea; Mastigamoebida; Endamoebidae
Description: bacterial SSU rRNA
Rfam family: Eukaryotic small subunit ribosomal RNA
Source: RNAcentral